This 170-nucleotide microRNA precursor is filed under the name Podarcis lilfordi (Lilford's wall lizard). Lineage: Eukaryota; Metazoa; Chordata; Lepidosauria; Squamata; Lacertidae. The record is from RNAcentral.
UUUAGCCAGCUGAGUGGGGAGGAGAGUGGGACAGAGAGCCUGCUUGCUUUAAAGGAGCCAACCGGACAGGAGCCGCUUACACUCGUGUACGCGGCUCCUCUCCUCUCCCGCUUUGCUCCUUUAAAGCAAGCAGGCUCUCUGUCCCUCUCUCCUCCCCACUCAGCGGCUCU